GUAACGGCCAGUGAAGCGGGACGAGCCCAGCACCGAAUCCGGCCUGGCGGUCGGCGGGGACUGGUGUGUGGGACGCCACCAGCCGCGAGAGCGGGCGCCGAAGUCCUUCUGAUCGAGGCCUCUCCCAUGGCGGGUGUAAAGCCUUUUCUGGUGCAGGCGAGCACGGCCGCGANCGUCCCAGGAGUCGUGUUGUUUGGGAACCCCAAAGCGGGUGGUAAACUCCAUCUAAGGCUAAAUACUGGCGCGANUCUGAUAGUGGACAAGUACCGUGAGGGAAGGUUGAAAAGAACUUUAAAGAUCGAGAGAGUUCAAGAGUACGUGAAACUGCCCAGAGUCAAACGGGUGGACCCGCAAAGUCGGCCGGCGGAAUUUAGCCCGGCCGGGAGACGGGGGCUGGCGCGUGCGGAUCUCACGACCGCCGCGCCGGCUUUUCGCUCUCCCGCCGGGUGCACUUUCUGCCGGCCGAGCGCCACGACACCGGCUCCCGGCCGGCCAGAGCCCGGCGAGGAAGGUGUGCGUUCUCCCCUCGUGGUGUCGUCCAUCGUUCCAAACCCGCAGGCNCAGUGAAAGCGAGGGCCUCCUUGGGAUGGCCAAGGCGGGAUCCCGUCCCCUCGCGGGGAGGGGGGGAAG
Molecule: ribosomal RNA, 630 nt
Filed under: Gymnodoris ceylonica
Lineage: Eukaryota; Metazoa; Mollusca; Gastropoda; Nudibranchia; Gymnodorididae
Description: eukaryotic LSU rRNA
Rfam family: Eukaryotic large subunit ribosomal RNA
Source: RNAcentral